This 1376-nucleotide long non-coding RNA is filed under the name Numida meleagris (helmeted guineafowl). RNAcentral's name for it is "lncRNA (ENSNMEG00000020553.1)". The record is from RNAcentral. Lineage: Eukaryota; Metazoa; Chordata; Aves; Galliformes; Numididae.
AGCUCCAGGUGGAAAGCAGGUGUGGCCUCCGCCCAUAUCACAUGCAUUUGUGAUAGAGGUGCUAGAAGGCUUUCAUUUGUUUUUUUCAUUUUUCAUUGUUUUUUUCAUUUGUUUUUGCUCCUUAGUGGAUUUUGUGUCAGCAGCAUGUGGGAUUUCCUUUGGUCACUUAACAUCAUCUUAUCAUCUGGACACCAGCACUCAGAACAGCACGGCAGCUCUACUUCAUGGCUUCUACUUCAUGGCUGCAGGACUGCCAGCUGAAAAUUCAUCUGAAAUGUGACUACAGCAGUGCAAAUGCUCAGCUUGGGUAAGGAGAAGACUUUGAAAGCAGAGAAACAGUACAGUGGUGAUCAAGAAUUAUGAUAAUGCCAAUCAGAGAGCAUCUAAUGGCAAUUAAUGUGGAUGGCACACAAAUGGCCAGAAACAAACAUACAGUAUAAAAGAAUGUUGAACAUAAUGAGAGAAAGAAAGGAAUGUGAAUCAGGGCUGGAAAAGACUGGGGUCCACCUCAAAAAAUGUCUGAAAUCUCAGAGCUUGAGUCACACUGUCUCCUUUACAUCCAUGUAUUACCUUUGCCAGAAGACGAGAAGAGAUGUAGAGGCCGUCAGUCCACGUCAAGUGCCACGCUAGAAGAAAAAAAGGAGGAAAAAAUACCAUUGCAUGUGAAUCCUUGUGGUAACUGAGGCACUCUUCUGCAAUGAGAGGAUUAACAUUGGUUCAUUUCACUGCUCAACUUGUUUUGAAGGAGAAAAAAGUCUUCCCUAGGAGACCAUGGAGAUAGUACCAAAACAGACAGAUAGAGGGACUCUCCUGCAUGCGUAGGCAAAGUAUAUAAUCAUCUUGUAUAAGACAUAUAUUUCUUUCCUCAAAAAUUAGUUGAGUCAAAAACCUUCGAUCAAUUAUAUGUUUUGCCAUUUAUAACUCAUAGAAUACUUUAUUAAUAUUACUUGCAUAAAGUUUACAUCAAUCGUGACCAUAAAGGAUAAACAUGUUUUUAUUAAAAUGUUGUCUUAAGUUUACCAAGGAUCUUGGUCUCUAUCUUGCAGGGACCUGCUUCUCGUACAUCUCAGCACACACCAGUGUUUCGUAUCACAGAUUUGUCGGCAUUGGAAGAUCUAAAGAUCAUCUAGUGCAACCCCUCUGCUAAAGCAGGUUCCCUAGAGUAGGUUGCAGAGGACCUCUAUCUUUUCUGUCUGCUUUCCUACUAGCACAGUAUGAUGUCCUUCAAAGAGAAACGCAAAGCUUUCUGUUUGUGCUUCCCCUUUUAGAUGACUUGAUCAUUUCAAGCUAGUUGAGAGUGGUUCCUUUUUUUUCCUCAUGAAAAUUUCUGAUCAUGAGGAAAAUAUACAAUAAAGUACUAUUCUGACCGCUGGCCA